GUGCACUCGACUGUUGUGGCCUUUCGUCUGCCUCCUUCACUUGAAUGGGAGCCUCCUGGGGCAGGGGCUGCUCCUUUUGCUGCUGUUGCAUCUCCAGGCCUGCAGCCAGGCCUGCCCCGCAGUGGGUGUCAACACGCUCUGUGGAACGAGGGACGGAAUGAGGGACGUGAGUGAUCUGUGUGGAUGGAGGAGUGACUUGCAAUGGAAGCCUGCCAGCCAAGACAGCUGGGCCCCUGGACAAAGUCUUGCUCAAUUCCUCAGGUUGCAGUAGAAUGGCAUGAACAGGACUCACUGCAGCCUCGACAUCCUGGGCUCAAGUGAUCCUCCUGCCUCAGCUUCCUGUGUAGCUGGUACCACAGGCCGUGAGAUACUUCAGACAGACACAAUUUCUCCCAGCGACAGGGGAGGAAGCCGAGGCCUUGAGAAGAAUCAUUUUUUGAGCACCAAAAGAAGAAACUGGUGGCGGGGCGCAGUGGCUCACACCUGUAAUCCCAGCACUUUGGGAGGCCGAGGCGGGCGGAUCACCUGAGAUCAGGCAUUCGAGACCAACCUGGCCAACAUGGUGAAACCCCAUCUCUACUAAAAAUACAAAAAUUAGCCGGGCAUGGUGGUGCAUGCCUGAAAUCCCAGCUACUCAGGAGGUUGAGGAGGGAGAAUUGCUUGAACCUGGGGGGCGGAGGUUGCAGUCAGCCGAGAUUGCACCACUGCCCUCCAGCCUGGGUGACAGUGAGACUCCAUCUCAAAAAAAAAAAAAAAAAAAAAAAGAAGAAGAAGAAGAAGAAACUGGCAACUCUGGCAACUCUCCUAAGAGGGAGGAAGAGAGGAGAAAGGACAGGGCAGGGCGGUGACAAGUGUCCUGGAACGGAAAAAGAAAAAAGAAGAAAAAAAUUGCACCUGUGUAGGAGGAGAUGCUGGUGGCCCUUGGAGUGCCCAUGUGAGAGAAGAGCCAGUUCCAGGAUUCCAGUGAGAGCAGCCAGCUCAGCGUGGCUCAGCAGCGGGGGACAGCCGUCUAGGAAUCCCUGCGGAGCACCCCAGAGAAGGAGCUUCACCUCGGGACCUGGGUCUCAUUUUCAGGGACUUCAUCUCCCUGAAAAGCAAUGCUGCAUCAGACACAGAGACGCCCCGACAGAACGGAAAACAAUAUGCACUGUUCAACAUGAAACUCCCAUUCAUCUCACUGCUGCAUGACUUUGCCUAAGAGUUCAGGAUAAAGUAAUGUUUGCAAAUACAUCCUGAAAUUGCUUUUGUGGGUUAGCAUCAUUAGAUUGCAUUAUGCUUUGGGAUUAAAAGCGUUAACUUUGCCAUGUAGCUAUUUCAAAUAGAUCACAAGCUCUUUUUUUUUUUUUUUUGAUGAUCACCACUAUACUAACGAGGAUCAAAUAGACCACAAGUUCUGCAACCCUGUUUAGAUGUUUCUUCAUUUCAUAAAGUAUAGGUACCAAGAAUCUCAGUACCUCCUCCUCUCCCCCCAGACUUUCUCUUGUUAUUCUGGGAUCAAAGGGGCCUCAUGUCCCCUCUGAGGGACCUUACCCCUAUCAAGCAGGCUGGCAAGCGGGAGAACGGAGGCCUGAGAAGCUGCAACACAGCUACACUGAACUCCCCAGCCAAGCCAUGUGCUUGCAUCUGCCCGUCUACUCCAGAGUGUGAGCCAAACAUCUGAGACUGUGAGAAUUCGGAGAGCUGACCCCAGACGUUGGUUCCAGUGUUGGGAGGAACCUGGGAAAAUCAAGGGAUGCUUUGGUCCUGUCAUUGUGACUGACAAGCAAUUAGAGGUGAAUAUCUGUGAAUAUUUGGGGGUUUAGAAUGUACCUGUUGAAAUGAAAUGCCCCUGGGAUAUGAAAUAACUUUAGCUGUUGGCAUCUAAGACAACAGAGGCAGCUGGACGUGGUGACUCACGCCUGUAAUCCCAGCACUUUGGGAGGCCGAGGCGGGUGGAUCACCUGAGAUCACGAGUUUGAGACCAGCCUGACCAACAUGGUGAAACCCCAUCUCUACUAAAUACAAAAAAUUAGCCGGGCGUAGUGGCGCAUGCCUGUAAUUCCAGCUACUUGGGAGGCUGAGGCAGGAGAAUUGCUUGAAUCCGGGAGGCGGAGGUUACAGUGAGCCAAGAUUGCACCAUUGCACUCCAGCCUGGGCAACAAGAGUGAAACUCCAUCUCCCCCCCCACCCCGCAAAAAAAGACAACAGAGGCGUUCAAUCAGUCGGCCGCGGCUGGUGCUGUGUGCCUGGGAGCAGUGGUGUGUUGAUCAAUGUUUAACAAGUGACUCUUUGGAAGAAAAGCCAUGAUCUGUAGUGUCUGCCAAUUUCUGUGGUGUAACUAUUUCCAGCGUGUCAGAUUCCAUGCCACCCAUGUGAUGUUACUCAAUGGAAAACUGGGAAGACUUCACAGUAACACACCAUUAUGUGUCAUUUCCAUCACACAGAUACAGACAUUGGAACCCUGAUCCGCAAAGAUGAUAGCAGUUCUGCUUGGUUCCUGUCUGAGCCUGGAUCUGGAUCUGGGAGGUGCUGGCGGGGUCCUGUUCUUCCGCUCUGGUGGGAAUCUGAUUGUGAUCAGCAUUGGGCCGCAUGCCAGAGACGGCUGCAGUCCUGUGCCUGGCCUGGCCGGCCUCGGUGCUACCCGCCACCCCUCACGUCUUCCCUUCUGGCUCCUUGUACGUCACUGGUCAGUCCGCGAACCCUGACUCUCCAUCAGUGAGCUGUGUGGCACUGGGCAAGCCUCUGCCCUUCUCUACUUCCCAGGGUACAGAGUGAGCUUCCACCUUUUGGCUUGAUUCUCCUUCACAUCUUGCCCACCCAGGCUUCUGACCGAAUCUAGCAGCUCAAGUCAAAUUCAGCUGGAAAUUGGCUGCUGAAGAAGCUGUCUUUCACCCUCUAUAACUGAGGACUUACUGUUCCUAACUGUUGCUAAGUGGGGGCUGUUUUCUUUGAGGGAGUUUUUUCUUCUUUAGCAAUUUUAUAUAUAAAAUAACAAAUGCAAAGUAUGUAUUAUGAGACAUGCUAACAAAAUGAACAUCUGUGAACCCACUACCCCAUCUAAGAAUUAGAACAUUAUCAACAGGGUUGUAUGUGCCUAUGUGUUCUUUCCUGUUCUGUAUGCCUGUCUCCCUUGAAGAGAUAGCUAUUACCCUGAGUUUUGGUGUUUGUUAUUUCCUUGCUUUAAAAAAGUAGCUUCAUCGGCCGGGCGUGAUCCCAGCGCUUUGGGAGGCUGAGGCGGGUGGAUCACCUGAG
This 3231-nucleotide long non-coding RNA is filed under the name Homo sapiens (human). RNAcentral describes it as "non-protein coding lnc-VWF-2:7". Lineage: Eukaryota; Metazoa; Chordata; Mammalia; Primates; Hominidae. The record is from RNAcentral.